This 148-nucleotide non-coding RNA is filed under the name Chlorocebus sabaeus (green monkey). The record is from Rfam by way of RNAcentral. Lineage: Eukaryota; Metazoa; Chordata; Mammalia; Primates; Cercopithecidae.
GCUGGGCGUGGUGGUGCGCACCUGUAAUCCCAGCUACUUGGGAGGCUGAGGCAGGUGAAUUGCUUGAACCCGGGAGGUGGAGGUUGCAGUGAGCUGAGAUUGCACCACUGCACUCCAACCUGGGUGACAGAGUGAGACUCUGUUUCAC